GGCGGCGUGCUUAAACAUGCAAGUCGAACGGUGAAGCCAGCUUGCUUGGUGGAUCAGUGGCGAACGGGUGAGUAACACGUGAGCAACCUGCCCUGGACUCUGGGAUAAGCGCUGGAAACGGCGUCUAAUACUGGAUACGAGACGUGAUCGCAUGGUCAAUGUCUGGAAAGAUUUUUCGGUCUGGGAUGGGCUCGCGGCCUAUCAGCUUGUUGGUGAGGUAAUGGCUCACCAAGGCGUCGACGGGUAGCCGGCCUGAGAGGGUGACCGGCCACACUGGGACUGAGACACGGCCCAGACUCCUACGGGAGGCAGCAGUGGGGAAUAUUGCACAAUGGGCGGAAGCCUGAUGCAGCAACGCCGCGUGAGGGAUGACGGCCUUCGGGUUGUAAACCUCUUUUAGCAGGGAAGAAGCGAGAGUGACGGUACCUGCAGAAAAAGCGCCGGCUAACUACGUGCCAGCAGCCCGUUAAAUA
This 473-nucleotide ribosomal RNA is filed under the name Microbacterium sp. MRL1C. RNAcentral describes it as "bacterial SSU rRNA". It matches the Rfam family "Bacterial small subunit ribosomal RNA", at positions 38 to 525 of the family's 1533-position model. The record is from RNAcentral. Lineage: Bacteria; Bacillati; Actinomycetota; Actinomycetes; Micrococcales; Microbacteriaceae.